This 1233-nucleotide ribosomal RNA is filed under the name metagenome. RNAcentral describes it as "bacterial LSU rRNA". It matches the Rfam family "Bacterial large subunit ribosomal RNA", at positions 1564 to 2808 of the family's 2925-position model. The record is from RNAcentral.
UGAAUACGAGAUGCUACGGCGUCGAAGCAGUCUAUGUCAUACUUCCAAGAAAAGCUUGCACUGUCAUAAACAAAUAAUGCCUGUACCAUAACCGACACAGGUGGGUAGGUAGAGUAUACUAAGGGGCGCGAGAUAACUCUCUCUAAGGAACUCGGCAAAAUGACUCCGUAACUUCGGGAGAAGGAGUGCCUUAUUUUAUAAGGUUGCAAUAACAAGAUCCAAGCAACUGUUUACCAAAAACACAGGUCUCCGCUAAGUCGUAAGACGAUGUAUGGGGGCUGACGCCUGCCCAGUGCCAGAAGGUUAAAGAAGUUGGUUAGCAUCCGCGAAGCUGAUAACUGAAGCCCUGGUGAACGGCGGCCGUAACCAUAACGGUCCUAAGGUAGCGAAAUUCCUUGUCGGGUAAGUUCCGACCCGCACGAAAGGCGUAAUGAUUUGGAUACUGUCUCAGAGAGGGGCUCGGUGAAAUAGACUUGUCUGUGAAGAUGCGGACUACCUGCACCAGGACAGAAGGACCCUAUGAAGCUUUACUGUAACUUGAAAUUGAAAUUGGACUUUACUUGCGCAGUAUAGGUGGGAGGCGUUGAGAAUAUUCUUGCGGGAAUGUUGGAGCCAUCAGUGAGAUACCACUCUUGUAAUGUUAGAUUUCUAACUUUGUAUCAUUAUCUGGUCAAAGGACAGUUUCAGGCGGGCAGUUUGACUGGGGCGGUCGCCUCCCAAACGGUAACGGAGGCGCACAAAGGUUUCCUCUGAACGGGUAGAAAUCGUAUCUAGAGUGUAAAGGCAUAAGGAAGCUUGACUGAGACCUACAAGUCGAGCAGGGACGAAAGUCUGUCUUAGUGAUCUGACGGUGCUGAGUGGAAAGGCCGUCACUCAACGGAUAAAAGUUACUCUAGGAUAACAGGCUGAUCUCCCCCAAGAGUUCACAUCGACGGGGAGGUUUGGCACCUCGAUGUCGGCUCAUCGCAUCCUGGGGCGGUAGUACGUCCCAAGGGUUGGGCUGUUCGCCCAUGAAAGCGGUACGCGAGCUGGGUUCAGAACGUCGUGAGACAGUUCGGCCCAUAUCCGGUGUAGGCGUUAGAAUAUUGAGAGGAGCCUUCUUUAGUACGAGAGGACCGAGAAGGACAUACCUCUGGUGUACCAGUUAUCGUGCCAACGGUAAACGCUGGGUAGCUAUGUAUGGAGUGGAUAACCGCUGAAAGCAUCUAAGUGGGAAGCCCACCUCAAGAUAAG